AAUAGAUACCUGGUAGUCCACGCCGUAAACGAUGAGUGCUAAGUGUUAGAGGGUUUCCGCCCUUUAGUGCUGCAGCUAACGCAUUAAGCACUCCGCCUGGGGAGUACGGUCGCAAGACUGAAACUCAAAGGAAUUGACGGGGGCCCGCACAAGCGGUGGAGCAUGUGGUUUAAUUCGAAGCAACGCGAAGAACCUUACCAGGUCUUGACAUCCCACUGACCGGUAUAGAGAUAUACCUUUCCCUUCGGGGACAGUGGUGACAGGUGGUGCAUGGUUGUCGUCAGCUCGUGUCGUGAGAUGUUGGGUUAAGUCCCGCAACGAGCGCAACCCUUGAUCUUAGUUGCCAGCAUUUAGUUGGGCACUCUAAGGUGACUGCCGGUGACAAACCGGAGGAAGGUGGGGAUGACGUCAAAUCAUCAUGCCCCUUAUGACCUGGGCUACACACGUGCUACAAUGGAUGGUACAAAGGGCUGCAAGACUGCGAAGUCAAGCCAAUCCCAUAAAAACCCAUUCUCAGUUCGGAUUGCAGG
This 530-nucleotide ribosomal RNA is filed under the name uncultured bacterium. Its description in RNAcentral is "bacterial SSU rRNA". It matches the Rfam family "Bacterial small subunit ribosomal RNA", at positions 777 to 1304 of the family's 1533-position model. The record is from RNAcentral.